RNAcentral lists this long non-coding RNA (1104 nucleotides) under Moschus moschiferus (Siberian musk deer). RNAcentral describes it as "lncRNA (ENSMMSG00000006566.1)". Lineage: Eukaryota; Metazoa; Chordata; Mammalia; Artiodactyla; Moschidae. The record is from RNAcentral.
CUGGCACAGGCUUGGGCGAGGUGGCAGCUGCAGCUGUGGGUGGCUUUGUUCUUAGAAGCAGCUUUCAGGGCUGUGGUUCAGCCUGGCAGCAGUGUUCCGGGAAUAGGUGAGACAGGAGAGCUGCCCCCUGGUAGCAGUGCCACCUUCCACCACAGCGAUGCUCUAUUUCUGUUGACAGCCAGAGAGUCUUGCUCCCUGGGGUCACCAGCCGGGCUCACUGCUUGGCAGGGUGGGUGCUAUACUUCCAUGUGGCCUGCCUUCCAGAGGGGAGAGGCCCUGAAGAGUCUGGCGGUAAGUCUGGAGGAGCGUCCCUGUCAGGAGAGGGCAGUGUGUACCCUUGGGCAUCCUGCAGCCUGGCAUUCCUUCUGCUCUCUCUUUGCAGCUCCGGAGUUGGGCUGCUCACAGACCAAGCUGUCUGUUUGUAUGGAGUGCCUGGAGGGCGUCUGCCACGAGUCUGUUGCUAACCGUGCUAACCAGGAGAGCUGGCUGGUUGGGGAGAAGACACUAACCCUGCUGGGAAAGGAGAAGGGGGGUCCAGAGGUUGCAGGAAGGCUGACUGCGUGGGGCUCCCUGGUGGUUUGCACAGUAGUCUUCAGCCCCUUUCUUCCUGUCGAGUAUUGGCUUGAACAAGAGGCCAGGUGGAUAGACUCAAGGUAUUUGCCCUGGUGGGGAGCCAGGUAAGCUCUCACAGGUCACCAGCACUACUUCUGAGACCUCAGGGUGACUCUGGGGCAGGAUAUUCCCCCCCAUUCUGGUUUGUUAAAUACCUGUAGUCUGUUCCGCUUAGAGUGGGCAGGGGGCCAGGUUAGCGCCGCAGGCAGCAUGUCCCAAAAGGGUGAGGUUGUACUUUCCCAGAGGGGUGGCAGGCCUGCCUGGGGGAGGGGCAGUGGGGCUGGUCUGGGCACAGACUGGCAUCUUCCAGCCUUGUCAUCGGCCCAGAGGAGAGCCUGCCCGGGCCCCACCCGUGUUCUGCUGGCUGCUUGCCUGCCACGCGCCCAGGAUCGCUCAGGGCUUUGCUCAGGUAUCUCGGGAACAGCUGCGCCGGAAACUGGGGGCCGGUGCUGGGAGGAUGGAACACAGGCUGCUUCAGUAGGAUCGGUUCUC